Molecule: ribosomal RNA, 445 nt
Filed under: uncultured bacterium
Lineage: Bacteria
Description: partial 16S ribosomal RNA
Rfam family: Bacterial small subunit ribosomal RNA
Source: RNAcentral
GUGAGGAAUAUUGCGCAAUGGAGGCAACUCUGACGCAGCCAUGCCGCGUGCAGGAAGAAGGCGCUACGCGUUGUAAACUGCUUUUAACCGGGAAGAAACCCCAGGACGUGUCCUGGGUUGACGGUACCGGAGGAAUAAGCACCGGCUAACUUCGUGCCAGCAGCCGCGGUAAUACGAAGGGUGCAAGCGUUAUCCGGAUUCAUUGGGUUUAAAGGGUGCGUAGGCGGAGCGUUAAGUCAGUGGUGAAAUCCUGCAGCUUAACUGUAGACUUACCAGUGAGACUGGCGCUCUUGAGUGCGCUUGAAGUGGGCGGAAUGUGCCGUGUAGCGGUGAAAUGCUUAGAUAUGGCACAGAACACCAAUUGCGAAGGCAGCUCACUAAGGCGAUACUGACGCUGAGGCACGAAAGCGUGGGGAUCGAACAGGAUUAGAAACCCCAGUAGUCC